GAUGAACGCUGGCGGCGUGCCUAAUACAUGCAAGUCGAGCGAACAGACGAGGAGCUUGCUCCUCUGACGUUAGCGGCGGACGGGUGAGUAACACGUGGAUAACCCACCUAUAAGACUGGGAUAACUUCGGGAAACCGGAGCUAAUACCGGAUAAUAUAUUGAACCGCAUGGUUCAAUAGUGAAAGACGGUUUUGCUGUCACUUAUAGAUGGAUCCGCGCCGCAUUAGCUAGUUGGUAAGGUAACGGCUUACCAAGGCAACAGUGCGUAGCCGACCUGAGAGGGGGUAGGGCCCCAGAGAAGGUGACACGCGGCACAGGCACUGAGGGAAGGCAGAGGUAGGGAAGCUACGGAGCAGGGGGAAAGCCUGCCGAAGGAGCGCAGGGUGGAUGAUGAAGGGCUUCGUGUGGUAAAACGCUGUUAUUGGGGAAAAACAAUUGUGUAAGUAACUAUGCGCGUCUGACGGGAACCGAUAAAGAAGGCCCGGGUAAACAACGG
This 496-nucleotide ribosomal RNA is filed under the name uncultured bacterium. RNAcentral describes it as "partial 16S ribosomal RNA". It matches the Rfam family "Bacterial small subunit ribosomal RNA", at positions 28 to 507 of the family's 1533-position model. The record is from RNAcentral.